GGGAGGGGCAAGGGGGAGGUUUGGGAUGAGCGGCUGGGAAGGUACAAGGGCGUGGAGAGGGAAGGAAAGAAGAGAGAACCCACAGGGAGCAGGGACAGUGCCAAAGGGCUUUAGGGGGACUUUUUAGCCCCGCUCCCCAUCUCUGUAAGUCCCUCCUGCGCGCCUCAAAUGAACUUACAACCUAAGUAAAGCAGCGCGCUUGCACAAGUUCCCCCCCUCCUGCCAGCCCCCUAUACUGUAACCCUGGGGCCGCCAGUGGCCAGGGAGUAAGAGAGGCUCCCAAAGAGACCCGCGGUGCCGGAGGAGUGGGAAGGAGAGAGGGAGAGGGGACAGGAGAAGGGGAGCACAGUCUCCAGGAGGCAUCUGCCGCCACGCCCCCUUUGGCCAACCUGCCAAUCGCUAGGCCGCAUCCGGGUCUCGUAACCCGUUGCCAGGCAGAUUUUUAUCCAACUCUGGGCUGCUGCGAGCCACGUGCCCUGCGGGGCCUGGGUGGGGCUGGGCGCUGGGCGCCCGGCGCCGAGCACAGCCAGGCGGAAAGAGGGGAAGGAAGACCCUGGGGGUCUGUGGGAAAGUUGCUGGAGGCCAGGGUCACACCUCCUCGGGCGUGGCCGCGGAACCUAGCCUCCUCACCCUGGUGGGUCCCUAAGCCCCAAACGAGGCAGGGACGCAUGCUUUUCCUUUAGUCCAGACUUGCCUCAAUCGCCAGCUUUGUACUCUGAGAAACUGCUGUGCUGGAGAGUGCCACCGCCUUAGACGUUGAUACUUUGGGAUAUUUACGUUUAAAAAGAGAGCUUUUGGGCCCUGAGGGAUGGGUUCCUCAUGGUGGUUAUUUCAGGCCCGUGGGCAGGCAGCUCGGGUAUUUUGGGACAGGAGAGCCUUUUUAGCAAAGCCUCACAAACAGCGUGGCUGGGGAGCCGCCUUGCUGUCCCUGCUGCGGGCCUGACACAGCCCCGGACCCUGGACGGUAGCAGGGACAUUGACCCCUGCCUGCCUUACCGUCCCCACUCCCGGGCCGGUGAGGGGAAAGGCUUUUGACAACCUCUGGCCUUACCAGCCAGUGCCCUGCGGCCUGGGUUUCGUGUUUUACCUGGACAUGUGGUCUCCUUCAGGGCACAAGGUCGCCAUCCGGCCUCCAUCGCCUGUGUCCAGUGGCCAGGCAGUGGGGAGGGCUGGAAUGUGAGCAGGCAGGAGAGAAGAAUGACAGGGCAGUUUCUACUUGUAAGAGUCCGAGCCCGGCGCACAACUUGAAUUUCAAGUGGGCCCUUCAGGCAGAUUAGGGAGGUCAAGUGAGAGAGUGGAGGCAGCCGGUGUGGAUUGUCUAAAUUCCUAGAAAAUAAAUUCUAGGAAUUUAGCUGUGGGAGGGGGGAGUGCCAGGUGCGUAGCAGGGAUUGGAGCUGGUGGUCCAGGAGGCAUGGGGGGGUGUGUGUGUGGAUUUUUGCUGUUCCCUCUCUGUUUGAACACCUUGUUUUUCCAAAAAUGAAUUAUCUCUUGAAUCAUAUCUAAGAGACAAAUUAAUGCUUUUAACCAAGGCUUUUUAAAAAAAAUUAUUUUGGGGGGCCGCCCGGUGGUGCAGCAGUUAAGUGCACACGUUCCUCUUAUCGGCAGCCCGGGGUUCGCUGGUUUGGAUCCCGGUGUCGACAUGGCACCGCUUGGCAAAAGGCGUCCCAUGUAUAAAAUAGAGGAAGAUGGGCAUGGAUGUUAGCUCAGGGCCACUCUUCCUCAGCAAAAAGAGGAAGAUUGGCAGUAGUUAGCUCAGGGCUAAUCUUCCUCAAAGAAAAAAAAGUAAAAUUAAAAAAAUUAUUUUUUUUAGCUGAGCUGCAGUCCUGUGGAGGAAAGCCACUCCCUGUAAAUACUCUUUUUGCUGACUGCCCUUUGUUUGAAGUAAUUAUUGUCCCUGAAAAUGGGAAAUUACAUGGUACUGUUUAUCAAAAGGAAAUAAAUACCUUGGAUUAAUAAGGUUCUCGCCUUAUUGGUGCUUCCAGACCUUGCCAGCAACCUGGGUUAAAAAGACUGCACCGCAUGUGGGGCAAACGCUCACUUUUGGCGUUUGACGAUUUCGAAAGGGAAAUGGUUGGGUCCUGUGUGUCCCUUGAGGCUUGCUGGCCAUGUUCUUGUUACAUAAUCACGGAGAACCUUUGAUAGUGCUUUUCUGAUGUCAGAAAUAAGGACAGGAAAAAACAUGGGGAGUGGAGCGUGCCUCCUGCCCACUCUGCUCUAGCAGGAAUUGGACUCUGGGUUGCUCUGUGUUCAUGAGCGUUUGGUUAACUCUCACUGAACAAUAGAGAGAAGAGUUGGAUGGGAAUGCCUUACCGAGAUGGCUUGAACUGCACAUUUGCUCACGCAGGGAAGAAAAGUUCUUGGAGGUGCUCUGAGCACAGCAGGUCUCAGCCUUUCCGUGCUCCAGCCAGCACCCUGAAAGUGCUCGCCCCUCCAGUCUCCUGCGUGCUCCCCUCCUUUUGACUCUGGCCAUUGUCAGUCCCUGCAGCCUCAAGCUGGCCUCUCCAGCCACACUCAGCUCUUUCCAGCACUCAUUUUUUUUAAAGAUUGGCAUCUGAGCUCACAUCUGUUGCCAAGAUUUUUUUUUCCUUCUUCUUCCCAAAGCCCCCCAGUACAUAGUUGUAUAUUUUAGUUGUGGGUCCUUCUAGUUGUGGCAUGGGGGAUGCUGCCUCAGCGUGGCUUGAUAAGCAGUGCCAUGUCUGCACCCAGGAUCCGAACCAUCGAAACCCUGGGCCACCAAAGCGGAGUGUGUGAACUUAACUGCUCGGCCACAGGGCUGGCCCCCUCCAGCACUCUUAGCAUGCCCUGCUCUCUCCAGUAUGCUGGCUUUCCACUUACUCUCUGCUUUUCUGUUCUCAGCAUUGUUCAUAUUAAAUUAUCUGCAACCAGUUGCCUGCCUGUCUGCCUCCCCCAUCAGACUGUCAGCUCUGGGAGGGGGGGGAUGCAGUCUGCUUGUUCACCAUCAUAUCGCCAGCACAGUGUCAGGCACACGGCCCAUGGCACACGGCACAUGGCAGAAACUCACUAAGCCCUCCUAUCACUAUCUUAUCGCUUCACUUGUCACUUCCCUUAGCAACAAGUGCCCCAGUUUUCCUUCUGUCCAUUACUAUGUAUUUCUCUGAUCUCCAAGAGGCAUUAGUCUCUACUUUGGGUAAAAACAUAUAAACAGUUCCAAAGCAAACCAACCAAACAAACACCAGAACUGGUUCUGUAAUAAGUGAUUGCUAAAGUUUUGCCUAUCAGCUGCUCUCCUUCAGCUGUUGAUGGGUCUGAUUUAAUUUCAGUAAAGGAUAGAAAGCGUGCAGCCUGUCAGUCAGCAAACUCUUCAAAAUCCACACCCUUCUAGCAGGCGGGACUGCCUUGUUGGGGUGAAAAGGAGGUAAAGCGAAAACUUGGUGACUCAGAAGGUGAGGAGCUGAAGUCCCAGAAAGGUGGGCUGGCGGCCACAGAAGGCAUGCUGAGUGGGAAGACACCUGCAGGGAUUUGGUGGCAGAUGAAGGUGGGGCAGGAGGGGGUCUGAGAUGGCCCCCACCAGAAUUGCAGCAGAGAUGUGACAGCCAAGAAUUGAAGUGGAGGAAGGAGAGGAGGAAAGCUGGGGUGUGGAGGAGGAGGGGGCUCCCCCGAUCUGAUCAGUUUGGUCCAAAACCAGUGGCUGGCACCUGAAAUGUCAUUUAUCGUUUAAGUCUGGGAAGUAUGACUUUUGAGGAUUCUGUUCCCAAUAGAUUAUUUUUAUUUUUAUUGAUUUUUUUAAAGAUUUUAUUUAUUUAUUUUUUCCCUUUUCUCCCCAAAGCUCCCCGGUACCUAGUUGUAUAUUCUUGGUUGUGGGUCCUUCUAGUUGUGGCAUGUGGGACGCUGCCUCAGCGUGGUUUGAUGAGCAGUGCCAUGUCCCCGCCCAGGAUUCGAACCAAUGAAACACUGGGCCGCCUGCAGCGGAGCGCGCGAACUUAACCACUCGGCCACGGGGCCAGCCCCAGUUUUUAUUGAUUUAAAAAAAUGCAUCUUUCUGAAGAAAUUCUGAGUGCCCUGACAGGCUUUGUUUUAUUAAGAGAGUAAUACAAAGAAAGCAUCUUCAUUUGUUCUCCUUCUUUCUUCCCCCUCCGUCCCUCCCUUCCUUCCUACUGAAAUUUUUGACCAGAAACGCCAGCCAGGAUGUGGAGAGCUGUGUUUUCCACCUGAACCAAGGUGGGGCUGGCCUUCUCUUUGUUGCAGCUAACUUGCUCCACCUCCACCCUGCUGUUCUCUUUGAGCUGGACAGACACAGCGACAGUGGCCCCGUUGCCAGCACAGACUGUUGCAGAAUGAGACAAAGCCCUUGUGUAUUUUGCUGGGCAGCACUUGGCCAUGAAAUCCUGACAUGUGAGCGUAGGAGAGCAUUUGUGAUGCCCGAGCAUACGGCUCUUGAAUCCGCGCUUUUCAGGGCGUUUCCAAGCCUCCUUCAAGGACAUCGAGGCUGAGGUUUGGUAAGUGUGUUUAUCUUUCCCAAGUUGGGACAAAGUCCUCCUGGAAAGUAGAUUUUGAAGCACUGAGAUCAGAAAUCUCCUGGGGAAGUGGGUAUGGAAUUGUGUGUUUUAACGUAAUGCAGUGUGUUUGAGCAAUAUCCGUGUCCUGUUGUCAAGAAAGAAACACCAUUCCCAGCCCAGUGCAGACUGGGUCCAAUGGCACCUGACCCAGGUGGCUUGGGCUGAUUCCUUGUCCACAGAGAGCCAGCUGUUGAGGUAGGCGAGAUGAAAGGAUUAUUUACUACAAAAAGUGGUGGGUCAGGAAUCUCCCAGUUGAUUCUGUUAGUUCAAAAUGGAAAAGAAAUGAAGUGGAGGUGGUUCCUUGGCUUGAUAUCCAGUACGGUCAUCCAGGCUCAGCAGUUGAAAGCCCAUUGGAUUUUAUUAAUCAUUGGAACAAUGCAAAGCUGCUCACCACGCCCCACAUGUCUCACCACGCCCCACAUGUCUCACCACCGGACUCUGAGGGACAGCACGUAGGUGUGGGAGGAACAGGUUCCAACCUGAUCCUGAUCGUUAACAAAACUAGUCUUCCCCAGCAGACGUGAAUCUCCAGGCCAAUCAGAUUACCUCAGCCUUCUAGCACCCGUGUGAACGGGCAUUGUAGGGAAGCUGGCUGGGCUGGGCUCAUGUAGGGUAGCCCAAUGCCUAUAAGGUGUAAUUUUCUUUUUUUCCCAAGGAAGAUUAGCCCUGAGCUAACAUCUGCCAAUCCUCCUCUUUUUUCUGAGGAAGACUGGCCCUGAGCUAACAUCCGUGCCCAUCUUCCUCUACUUUAUAUGUGGGAUGCCUACCACAGCACAUCCCACUGCAUGGCUUGCCACGUGAUGCCAUGUCCGCACCCGAGAUCCAAACUGGUAAACCCUGGGCCGCCGAAGCGGAACGUGCACACUUAACCAUUGUGCCACCGGGCUGGCCCCAAUAUAAGGUGUAAUUUGAAGGCCUCAGGAAAGGCCACCCUAGCCUGAAAUCUCUGCCCUACUGGCUUGUCAAAGAUUCCUGCAAUUUCACUAUUAUCGAGCCAUUGCUUUGUUUCCACAGGCCCUCUCUGUGCUGUUCUUCUGUAAACGCAGGUUGGUCUGUGAUACGGGAUUCCCUUAAUCUUCCCACCUGAAAUUGUGUGUUUAAUCUCUUGGGUAAACCCCAAAUUCAGCUCCACUUUUUCUUUUUCCAGUUUUAUUGAAAUAUAAUUGGCAUAGAAUAUUGUAUUCGUUUUAGAGGUACAACAAAUAAUGAGUUGAUAUAUGUGUGUGCUGGGAAACGAUCACCACAGUAAGUUGAGUCUCGGUUCCACUUUUUCAUGUUAGGUCUCUCUCGAGUCACUUCACCUGCCCUAUUCCCUAUUCUGUUCAGCUUAGACAGGAAGGGAAGCUGGAAGCCAGGUGGCUCAGUGUGGGGGACAGAAGAGCCAAGGAAGGUGGAAGGAAGGGCGCUGGGGACUAGCGGCCUCUCACAUGGCUUCGCAGCACAGUAAGGGCUGCCGGCCUUGCUCUGGUGCCAGAUGGCACAUGAAGGGAGAUGUUCUCCCCUCUUUGGCCAAAGUGGAUCCCCGUCAACUCCGACACAUGCUCCUUUCCUCUCUACUCUCACUUCCUUCAUCUCACUCACUUUCCUCUUACCUCUCCUCCUUCCCCUUUGCUCUCAGCCAUCGUCAUUCUAAGUGGCCCCAUGUAGGAAGGGAACUCUCAGUUGGUAGCCCCAAGGAGCCAGGAGCUCCUAAACCAGACCAGAGCUUGGCUGCACCCUUUCCUCCUUCCACACUUGGUUCUCAGUCCUUCCAUGAGGCCUGAGGAGUGACCCAGGAGCUGCCCAGCUGCAGGCAUUCCAACUUGUACAGCUGGUUGGAGCAGACAUGGAGGGUGUGCAGCGAGAGGCCAGCCAGAUGCUGGGGGCUGCACUAAAGGCUUAGACCGUUUCUGCCUUUUCCUCUUUGCCUGGCCUAGAAGAGGUGACCAGAACCCAUCUCUGCAUGCCCCUGCCUCUGGGCCGAUUUUAUCUCCCCAUACCUCUCUCCCAGAGCCCCCCAUCCCAAAGGAAAUGAUGCCAUAAACUCCACUGGAAUAUAACUCUAAGCAGGCAGGGAUUUUUAAUCUAUCCUCAGAGUCUGGAACAGUGCCUGGCACAUAGUAGGUGCUAAAUAAAUAUUUGUUGCCUGAACCUCCUCUGAUUGACGUAAUCACAGCUGGUAAAAUACUUUCAACUCUGCUGAACACUCUUUUGGGCCGGUAGACAUUUUUAGAACUCACAUUAUGAAAGAUUUAAUUUUUAAUUACACCACAUAGCAAUUCAUUUUUCUCGAAAAUUCAAACAGAGCCCUGAUGGCCUAGUGGUUAAAGUUCGGCACAUUCCACUCCAGGGGCCCAAGUUCGGUUCUUGGGCACGGAACCACACCACUUGUCUGUCAGUAGCCAUGCUGUGGCAGCAGCUCACAUAGAAAAACUAGAAGGACUUACAACUAGAAUAUACAACUAUGUACUGGGGCUUUGGGGAGGAAAAAAAAUUGAAACAGUAGGGAAGUUCUGCUUGCCCCAAACCCAGUUGCAUGCCCCUCCUGAGCACUAACCACAGCCACCAUCUUGGCGUACAUCCUGCAGACUUUGCUCUAUGCGUUUGGACAAAGCUGUCUGUAAACACAGACAGCUGUAGCUUGGCGGGUUAAAAGAAACCGUAAAUAAGAUCCCACCGUAUUGUUUUGCAAUUUGCUUGUUUCUCCUUACUAAUAUGUUUUGGAGAUGUUCUGUGUAGGUAACUACAGAUCCACUUCAUUGUUUUUCACGGUUGUGAAAUAUCGCAUAGCAUAGACGGAGUACUGUUUGUUUAACUAUUCCUGUACUGACAGAGCUUUGAGUCAUGUCCAGUCUAUGAACAUCCUUGCAAAACCACUCUGAGUACAUGUCCAAGUAUUUCACUGGGACACCUACAGAUGGAAUUGCUGAGUGAAGGAGCAUGUGCACUUAGCAUGUUAAUAGCUAUGCCAAAUUGCCCUCCCAAGCGGCUGGAUCCAUACACAUUCCCACUUUUGGGUGUGAAAGCCCCUGCUUUCUCCGUACCCUUAUUGGUUUUUAUUGAUCUUCUUUAUUUUUUUUUACCAAUCUGUUGGUCAAAACACAUUAUCUCAUUGUUAGAAUAAAAAUUUCAGUUCAAUUUUCUAGGCGAGGAAAUUGUAAUUCAUGUUAGUAACAUAAUCGCAUGUAGAGUAAUAAUACUAUUUAACUGCUAUGUGUUCUGUUAUUUAGUAACUAUUUUACAUAGAAUGAGUAAGUAAUCAGGUCUCUGCCCUUUUAGAUAGAAAUAGUUAUGUAUCAAUUUUUCUCCACACAUUUCGCUGUGACCUUUAGAUGUAAAACACAAGAGUGUGGGGGUCUUAUAGGACCCCAGGGGAAUGACCUCUCCUUUCCCCUGCAUAUCCUCGCUUCUCUGGAGUGGCUCCAGUGAAUUCUUUCGAUGCCACAGCCUGCCCUUCCUUCAUGUCCUUUCCCACCACACAGUGGCCACGUCCUGGAAUGACGAUGUCAAGUCGCCCAAUCCGAUGGCGUGGUACAUUCUCUGCUCCCCGGCCUCUGGGUUUCUGCUUAGAGCAGCUUGGAACACGUCAGCAGAAGUUGUUGGUUCUGUCCUUUGCUCACCUCUGAUGAUAGCUGGCCCAUCUUCUGGUCUAUCAGAAGCUAUACCACGGGCUGGGUUCUGCCUUAAUCUUUUCUAAGCUCAGACGUCACCUAGUACAACGUAUUCCAGAGAGAAGCACAUUUUAAAAGGAAAAGCUUUGAGAGCGUUUAAAAUCGUACACUGUUUAAUUUUGUGGCUAGUUCCCUUCCCACCCCCACCUUGAGGUCGUUUGUUCUUCUAUUUUUCUUAACCUCUGGAUAACGCCAAGAUGGUGGUUGCGAAAGGGUUUUUCUCCCUGAAAGUUUUCUCUAGGCAUGGUUCUUUGUUACUAACAAGAUACAGCUUAGAAUCAUUUCGUGCCUUAAUAUUAAUCUCUGAUGAUUGAAUUGGAAUCACCACCCACUGUGGCUGGAUUUAAUAAUGGCCUCCUCCUAAAGUUACUUUUUUAGAGGGAGCAUAGGAUUUUAAGGCAGUGUGACUUGUUUUGAUGGUUUCAGGUUAAUUUUGUGUUUGUAUCAGGUUAAUUUCAUAUUUGUACCACAAAACCAUUUGCUUGUUGAUUUGAUUGUUUCAUUUUCUAAAGUGAGUUGAAACCAAAGUCAUGUCCUACCCCCUUAUUCAGUCCAGCUACUACAGAAUCUUUGCUUUGCUGGUUUUAGAAAUAUUACUCUAUUUCUAAAGCACUCCAGUUUUGGCCACAAAUUAUACCAACAGGACGCCGUGGGGCAAUCUAUAUAUUUAGCUAAGAAUCUUAGUUUCUUUAGGAUAACUUAUUAUUUUGGAUAUUCUGGUAACUUUGCCUUGGACUUUUUUUUCUUUCAUAUUUUCUGAUAUAUGCUGCAAAACAUGAGUGGAGGGGUUCAUGAACCAGAAGGCCUGUGUCCAGAUCCCAGCUCUGCCACUUCUUAGCUGUGUGGUCUUGGGCAUGUUACUUACGCUCUCUGUGCCUCGGUUUUCUCUUGUGUAAAACAGAGUAACGGUAGCAACAAUCUCCCGAGUUGCUAGAAGGAGUUUAUGUACAAGUUUAAACAGUGUUUGGCAUAUGGUAAGUGCUAAUGUGUUUGUCAUUAUUAUUCAAUCCUUUCUGAAAGAAAAAAACAUUCCUUUCUUCUGUGGUUAUUUGGACUUAUUCUGAGUUACAUUUUAUAAUUGAAAACCGAACAAAUUGAAAUGAAGGAAGAGUCAUUGAAUGCUUAAUUACUCAACCAAACUGUUUCUGGAAGAGGCAAGAGUGUUUCUGUAAAGUAAUUCACACCUGAUUAAUCUAUUAGGAUUUUUGAAAAUUUGUGCACUAAGAAAAACCAGUGGGAUGAGAUUAAUCUAUGUGCAGUUUUUAAGAGUAUGGGAAAUUUUCAUGCCAUUGGUUGUUAAAGAAACGCAAGUAUCAUUCAGUUGAAAAAAAAUUUCUUCCUUCCUUCCUUCCUUGCUUCCUUUCUUCCUUCCAUCUGUCCUUCCUUCCUUCUCUCAUCAGUCAUCCAUUCAAGCAACGAACAUUUCCAGAGUGCCUGGGACACUGUGCUAGGCUCUACAAACAGGGGCACAGAGACAAAUAAUCCAUGGUCCCAGCCCUUAGGAAAAUCUAAUGAAAGAUUUGCUUGUUACUUAUGGUGAGGAAAAAUUUAAGUGGCCCCAACCUCCCUCGGAAAGCUUGGGACAGGGAAGACAGACCAUCUGUAAGAAGGAAUCAUGAAUAAGAAAAUUCACCAAUUGGAAAGCGAAGAUCCGGACUCAUUCCAUUCAUCAGCCUCCAAGUUACUUUCUCUUGAGGAAGAGCUAUUUCUUGGGAUGAUGUUCAACUUGAGGAAACACACGAAAAGAACAGCCCAUUGAAGGUGUUGAUAGCAACCAUGGUUUCCAUGUUGCUGGCAGAGAGAAUCCUGGCACUUGCCAGGGAAUCCAAUGCUCAGGUGGGCUUUCCUUCUUGAUGGAUCGCUUAUUCUGACAUGGUGGUGACCCCUGGAUUGAAGAUCUACCACAUAAGGCUUCAGGGCCUCCUCGUGGAGUUCAAUCUACUCGUUGGAACUCCUGCCCCAUGAGAUCCAGCUUGGUGCUAAGCAGAGAAGGUGCUCAGUAACUCACAACCCUCCUUUCUACACAUUCUUCACUUGACAGCAUCUUGUUCAUCAGUGUUGGGUUGCACCUUAUCUCUUUUCUUCUGCCACUGCAAAAUCCUUGAGGACAGCGGCUAGAUCUGCUGAACUGAUGAACCCGAGAUGACAUUGUCCCCUUUGUACGAGUUUCCCUGGACUUUCACGGAAGGAUGUCUUUCAGCAUAUGCCAGCUCCCUUCUUAAGAUUCUCUGAUCACUUCCACAGACAGAACUUCCAAAUGAGGGUGGAGUGGGCUGGGUGGGAUGUGGUGGGGGGUAAAGGUGGGACCUCUGGUUUUUCUGUAUACCCUUAGUAGACAUUUAAGAAAUGUUAAUUAAUUGGAUCACUUGAUGAAUGACCUGGUAAUAAUCCUUGUCUUUGUUGUUAGAACACAUCACAGCCAUCAGCACUGGAAUGCAAACACCAGAAUAAACCGGAGGAAGCCACCAGCCAAGCCCGGGCAGUUUCAAUCUCCACCUCAAACGCAGACUGAAGUCUUGCCCCCAGGAUUGUUCUGAAGUUUUGGUGGAGGAGAGAUGAGUUGAGGCCCGUCCUUGGCUAGUGGAGGUGAUACCACGGAUCCACAGCUGGAAGGGCCAGCCCAGACAUUGGCUCUUCCUGGAAUCUUGAACUCAGCUCUCCACAAACCUUCUUCAGGACUGCUUUUUAAAAAUGUGACGAGCUUCUGAUAUUUACUUCAGUAGCAUCUUUUGAGUGGCUGCUGCUGCACUAGGCGCCCGGAAUGCAAGUAGGAGAGAGAUGUCUCAGUCGGGCUCUAGCAGGGGCCAGGAAGAAAACCGCCCCCUCUGAAGGUUGUUUUUGUGACUGUGCUUUGGAGCAUUGUUCUAAAAAUGGGAAAUUACACGUUGCUGUGCCAAAGGAAACAAGCACCUGCAGUUAGAGGAAGACCUUCCACGAGGCGGCUUUCAGAGCUCCAGCCAGUUCUGGACGCCGGGCUGCCACAGGAGUUCCAUUUGGUGCGUUUCUUCCCUUCUAAAGGCAUAGGGUGUGGGCUUACAUUUGUAACCAGGGUGGGCUCUGGCAACUUUGGGCUCUAGUGAUUGUCUUCUUCUCAUUCAUUCAAUAAACAUCUAUCAAGCAUCUAUGUUGGGUCAGCCUUGGUGGUUUUCACGACUCCCUUCCCUGGCAUUGUCAAAAACCAUUGGGGGAGUUGGCUACUGGCAGGCGGCUUUCUGGUUACCUUUCUUCAGUGUUCUGAGUCAGUGCACAACUUCUGCCUCCAAAUGACAAGGAGCUAGAGAGAACCCCAGCACAUUCUCUCCUUCCUCUCCUUUCUUUCCCCCUCUUUCUUCCCUCCCCACCCUUCUUUCUCUUCCUUCAUUAGUUUCCAAAAAGAAAAAUGUUAUUUUUAACAUGUCAGUCAAUAUAUUUCUUUAGGCAUGUGAUUUUUCGAAGUUUCCAGUUCCUGGGGUACACACAGUCUGAAAUUCUUGUUCUACAGUGUUAGACAUCAAAAGAUACUUUUUUGGUUAGCUGAUUAAUGUUUAACAUUUAUCGACACGGAUAUAAUUGCAAAAUAAUUAGGUUUUGAAAUUUAUCAAGCGUGAAAUGAAUACAUUUCAGAUGAAGUUGUGGGUUAAAGAGAAUCCAGUUUCACAAGCUGAUCUCAUCUUUAUUGGAAAUGAGAAAGAAGAAGGGAGUAAUGGGAAACAAUGAGUUUCAAACUUUGUGGGAUGCAUUGACUUUGGUUAGAACCUUCUGCCCGUGAAGCGCGUAUUCCUCCAAUAGGUUAGCCCAAGAGUGAUGGCAGAUGGAGUCAGGGCGAUCUCUCUGGGACCACUUGGUUAUUGAUGUGGUCCCUCCUGGAAGAAGAGAGAUGGAAAUAAAAGGCUUUCUAGUUCCGUAACACACUUAAUCUACUGUCUUAUUUUCUACAUUGGUUUCAACUUUUCCAAUAGAGGUUCAAAAGUGGGACCCCUCUACGAUGGAGCACAAGAUACAGAUUCACAUUCCAGUCAUCUACUUUUUACUUUUAUUUUUGCUUACUUGGAUUUUCAAAUUUUUCUUUAAUGAAUGGCAAGAGAACAAAAAUUUGGAUCACACCCUCGUGGGGCUCGUGUUCUCGAGAGGAAAGCAGACAUAAGCAAACAUGCCACAGUGAGAUGAGGGCAUGACAGAGCCUCAAUUAGGUGUCAUGGGAGGAGAGAGAGUCCCUGGUCCUCGGGUCAUCAGGGGCAGGAUGGGAAGAGCCCAAGAGCGGAGUCUUGAAGGAAUCUUAAGUUUGCCAGAUUUAGUAGAUACAAUACAGGAUGCCAGGUUAAAUUUGAGUUUUAGAUAAAUAAUGAAUCAUUUUUUUAGUAUAGAUAUGUCCCAAACAUUGCAUAGGUCCUGAAGGAUGGAGGCUGGGUCUUCAGGUGACUUUGGGAAGGGAGGCACUUUGGCCAGUGGGAACUGCCUGUGCAAAGGUGUGGAGGUGUGAACAGCAUGGAUCUGUCGCCUGUUUCAAAUAUAAAUGUAUGUGCCUCAUAGCAAGGCAGGUAACUGCCACCUGAGGAAGGAGGUCUGCCAGCCAGGAAGAUCCUCGUUCUGGGCUGAUGGUUUCAGAUUUUCCCUUGGUUCCUUUUUUCCCAUGACUCCCUCUUCCAUAAACCAUGCACUUGCGUCUGGCUGGAGGACAGAUGAGAAGCGGGACUUGGGUUGUUCUAGACAGCACUGCCAGGGUGGGUCUCAUGGCUUUGUGGCCUCAGAGCUUGCUUGAGGGGACAAACAAGAAGGAUUCCAUCUCUUAGAGGUGGCUGCACAUUGACCAAGCCUCCAGACUGAUAGCUGCAACCAGAAGCACAUUUAUUAAAUUGCUGUGAGAACUGCAAAGGCAUAUUCUCCCCCCGUGGACAAGCAUCAUGAAGGCUGAGGGGGGCGAGCACAGACUGAGGAUGAGGAGGUGGUUGAAGGGGUGCCCAGGAAGGGUUCCUCGUCAAUGGAAGCUGCACUGUUCCUGCUCAGGACCCAUUUGUCUCCCUCGAGCUACUCCCCAUCCCCUCCCGUAUGGCACCCUGACCCUUUCUGUUCAUCCGGUGGGGCACAGUUCACCGGGCUAGAUUUCUACUUACUAAAUGACACCCACAUUCUAGUCCCGCCCCCUCAUGACUCCCUGAUCACCUUGGUGGAGUGUAGGGUGUGGGUGAAAUCUUUUCUCCUAGUUAGAGACAAUCUCUGGUUCAUCCCCAUAGAUGGCUCACCCUAUGCACUGUCUGUGAAUUUACCAACCUAUCUCUGAGGGUAACUUUACUUCCAUGCCUUGUUCUCUGCUGCACCCCCAAAGUAGGUGGGGGAAACAGCAAGAUUUGAGGCCAGAGCGACAGGCAGGGCCAUUCUUCAAGGAGGGCCUCUGGUGCCGUGCGAGGACUCUGGACUUUAUCCUAUACGAGACUGGUAGCAGAGAAGGAUUUUAAGCAAAAGCACGAAAUUGCUCUUUGACUUUUGGCAAUCACAGGAAGGGAGCAAGACUGAAAUCUUAGAGACCAUUUAGGAGGCAGAAUAAAGUCCCCCCAAAGAUGUCAACAACCUAAUUCCCAGAACAUAUGAAUGUAUUAGGUUACAUGGUGAAGGGAAGAGAAGGGUGCAGAUGGAAUUAGGGUUGCUAAUCAGCUGGCACUGAGUGGGGCAGAUUAUCCCGGAUUAGCAGGGUGGGCCCAGUGUAGCACAAAGGUCCUUCUACUGGAGAAAGGAGGCAGAAGAGAAGGCCAGAGUCAGAGAGAGAGAGCUGAAGAGGCCGUGCUGCUGACUUUGAAGCUAGGGGAAGGGGCUAACAGCCAAGGAAUGAAGGUGAUCCUUAGAAACUGAAAAAGCAAGAAACAGACUCUCCCCAGAGCCUCCAGAAGGAACACAGCCUGCUGACACUUUUAUUUUUAGCUCAAUGAAACCAUGUCGGACUUCUGACCUCCAGAUCUGUAAGAUAAGAAAUUUCUUGGGGUUUUUUCUUUUAAGCCACUAAGUUUGUGGUACUUUCUUACAGCAGCCAUAGGAAACUAAUUUAGAGGCUAUUUGCAAUAAUCCAGGCCAGAGGUGGUGAGGGCCUGCUGCUGCAAUAAGAGUAGAAAGGAGACUAGUUCAAGGUAAACUGAGAAGGAGAUGAGUCGGAGACUGAUUGGACUUAGAGGGGAGGAGGGUCAUGGGAGCCUUUCUCCUGCCCCCACGCCCUGAGGCUUGCUCCUCAUCUCACCUCUCCGGAGGAGCCCCACCCAAGUCUCCAUGCUCUCCUGGGGCAGAGGGAGUACCUGCUUCUCUUGCCAAGGCCCUGAGAGGGAAUUCUAAAGGAUGCUCUGCGGUUACACACCUUGCACGUACGCAGCACGAUCCAGUGCUACAGGCACAUAACUCCAGACAUUUUAUGAGUUAACUAGACUUUCGCGAUAGGCCAGGAAUCCAUUCGCUUGAUGAGGAAGAAGUCUGAGUUCCAAGCCCUGGUUUAUCCGUUCCAACACUGGUGACCAUGCAUGCUUAGCUGAAUCUAUUUUCAGAUUUUUUUUUUUUUGCAUGUUCUGUAGUUUUAUAAUUUUAGUCUGCUCAUGGAAAUAUGUUGGGUGGCUAACUACUGAUGAUUCAUCCUCACACUGUUCCCAUGUGCCUGUUGGUGUGCUCUGUAAGUGCUCGGAAAGAACGUUCCCUAAUUACAUGUUUCAGAACGCACUGUUUGUGUGGCCCCUUCAUCAUCAAUCAAGGUUUUCUUUAUCAUCUAUCUGAAGCCAUUUUGAGCUGCAAUCACCCUGCGGUGAAUUACUACCCACAAAUCCCUUGGCAUUUGUAAACAGCAUGCCUUGCAUCAGCCAUAAACUAGACAUAAUUUUAUCCACAUUAUCUUGAUAAAGUUGAUGAAGGCUGGUUUUGCUUCCUCUUCCUGCCUCAUGAGUCAUUUAUAGAAUUUUCUGCCAGGCUAACCUCAACCACCUGACAUGUUGAGGGUAUAGAACUCCGGCUUUCCUGCUGAUAAUCAAUUCAGGCUAAACACUGAAAUAUAGUCAGGGCAAGCCCUGGGAUUUCCUAACAUGAUGGCAAUGUUUGAUAAUUACCAUUCCUCAUCAGCUUUCUUCAAGAGUCAAUGUUCUUUUGGUUGCAGGCAGUGGCAGUAACAGACAAUUUUCAAAGAAAAUUUUCGCCCAGAUUCGCAGUUUAGUUGAUAAUGUGAUCAAGAAUUGGGAUCUUUCCCCUGGGCCCCUCAGAGCUAUGAACGCUAAAACUAACAUAGUACUAAAAAUACCUUUCUUG
This 15412-nucleotide long non-coding RNA is filed under the name Equus caballus (horse). RNAcentral's name for it is "lncRNA (ENSECAG00000044956.1)". Lineage: Eukaryota; Metazoa; Chordata; Mammalia; Perissodactyla; Equidae. The record is from RNAcentral.